GACGAACGCUGGCGGCGUGCCUAAUACAUGCAAGUAGUACGCAGUUGCGAACGGCCGAGUAACGCGUAGGUAACCUGCCUCAUAGCGGGGGAUAACUAUUGGCAACGCUAGCUAAUACCGCAUUCUGUGAGAUGGACCUUCGUUGUAUUAGCUAGUGGUUGAGGUAAAGGCUCACCAAGGCGACGAUACGUAGCCGACCUGAGAGGGGGUGCGGCCACCCUGGGACUGGGACACGGCCCAGACUCCUACGGGAGGGAGCAGUAGGGAAUCUGCGGCAAUGGACGGAAGUCUGACCGAGCAACGCCGCGUGAGUGAAGAAGGUUUUCGGGUCGUAAAGCUCUGUUGUUAGGGAAGCGGUAACGAGCCAGAAAGGGACGGCUAAGUACGUGUCAGCAGGCGCGGUAAUUC
This 408-nucleotide ribosomal RNA is filed under the name uncultured bacterium. RNAcentral's name for it is "partial 16S ribosomal RNA". It matches the Rfam family "Bacterial small subunit ribosomal RNA", at positions 28 to 526 of the family's 1533-position model. The record is from RNAcentral.